CAAGCGUUGUCCGGAAUUAUUGGGCGUAAAGGGCUCGUAGGCGGUCCAUCGCGUCGGGUGUGAAAAGCUGGGGCUUAACCCCAGUCCUGCUUCCGAUACGGGUGGACUAGAGGUAGAUAGGGGAGAACGGAAUUCCUGGUGUAGCGGUGAAAUGCGCAGAUAUCAGGAAGAACACCCGUGGCGAAGGCGGCUCUCUGGAACGCAACUGACGCUGAGACGCGAAAGCGUGGGGAGCAAACAGG
This 242-nucleotide ribosomal RNA is filed under the name uncultured bacterium. RNAcentral's name for it is "partial 16S ribosomal RNA". It matches the Rfam family "Bacterial small subunit ribosomal RNA", at positions 535 to 776 of the family's 1533-position model. The record is from RNAcentral.